Molecule: ribosomal RNA, 526 nt
Filed under: Lacerta viridis guentherpetersi
Lineage: Eukaryota; Metazoa; Chordata; Lepidosauria; Squamata; Lacertidae
Description: partial 16S ribosomal RNA
Rfam family: Bacterial large subunit ribosomal RNA
Source: RNAcentral
UAUUAAAGGUCCCGCCUGCCCAGUGACUAUUUAAACGGCCGCGGUAUCCUAACCGUGCAAAGGUAGCAUAAUCACUUGUCCCCUAAAUAGGGACUGGUAUGAAUGGCUAAAUGAGGACUAAACUGUCUCUUGCGGACUGGCCAAUGAAAUUGAUUUUCCAGUACAAAAGCUGGAAUGUACUCAUAAGACGAGAAGACCCUGUGGAGCUUCAAAACCAAAUCACCCAGCAUGUUCAUUGGAUUUUUAGUUGGGGCGACUUCGGAAUAUAGUAAAACUUCCAAAAUAAAUUAAUUCCAUCAAGAUUAACACACCAAAAUUUCUUUAUAGAUCCAGCAAAUAAUUUUAUUUAUCUGAUCAAUGAACCAAGUUACCCCAGGGAUAACAGCGCAAUCUCCUUUUAGAGUCCAUAUCGACAAGGGGGUUUACGACCUCGAUGUUGGAUCAGGACACCCCAAUGGUGCAGCCGCCAUUAAAGGUUCGUUUGUUCAACGAUUAACAGUCCUACGUGAUCUGAGUUCAGACCGGA